This 121-nucleotide small RNA is filed under the name Arabidopsis thaliana (thale cress). Its description in RNAcentral is "ATSL066710". The record is from RNAcentral. Lineage: Eukaryota; Viridiplantae; Streptophyta; Magnoliopsida; Brassicales; Brassicaceae.
UUCAAACUUUUAUUAAUACAGAUCUAAUUACUAAACUCAAUAACAUUAUAAAAGCCGUGUUCGGCUAAGCCCAGUAAGCCCUAUAUGUUUUGAAUAAAUACGAUAUUUUAUAAUAAACAGA